CCUACGGGAGGCAGCAGUGGGGAAUCUUAGACAAUGGGGGCAACCCUGAUCUAGCCAUGCCGCGUGAGUGAUGAAGGCCUUAGGGUCGUAAAGCUCUUUCGCCUGUGAUGAUAAUGACAGUAGCAGGUAAAGAAACCCCGGCUAACUCCGUGCCAGCAGCCGCGGUAAUACGGAGGGGGUUAGCGUUGUUCGGAAUUACUGGGCGUAAAGCGCGCGUAGGCGGAUUAGAAAGUCGGGGGGUGAAAUCCCGGGGCUCAACCUCGGAACUGCCUCCAAAACUGCUAGUCUAGAGUUCGAGAGAGGUGAGUGGAAUUCCGAGUGUAGAGGUGAAAUUCGUAGAUAUUCGGAGGAACACCAGUGGCGAAGGCGGCUCACUGGCUCGAUACUGACGCUGAGGUGCGAAAGUGUGGGGAGCAAACAGGAUUAGAUACCCUGGUAGUCCACACCGUAAACGAUGAAUGCCAGUCGUCGGGUAGUAUACUAUUCGGUGACACACCUAACGGAUUAAGCAUUCCGCCUGGGGAGUACGGUCGCAAGAUUAAAACUCAAAGGAAUUGACGGA
RNAcentral lists this ribosomal RNA (562 nucleotides) under uncultured bacterium. RNAcentral's name for it is "bacterial SSU rRNA". It matches the Rfam family "Bacterial small subunit ribosomal RNA", at positions 338 to 917 of the family's 1533-position model. The record is from RNAcentral.